AGUCAAUGAACUUGAACAAGUGUGUAUUUUGAAAAUACAAAAUAGAAAAUUUUAUUCUAUUGACUU
Molecule: transfer RNA, 66 nt
Filed under: Passalidae sp. GENSP02
Lineage: Eukaryota; Metazoa; Arthropoda; Insecta; Coleoptera; Passalidae
Description: tRNA-Ser
Source: RNAcentral